Molecule: ribosomal RNA, 254 nt
Filed under: uncultured microorganism
Description: partial 16S ribosomal RNA
Rfam family: Archaeal small subunit ribosomal RNA
Source: RNAcentral
CACCGGCGGCUCGAGUGGUGGCCACUUUUAUUGGGUCUAAAACGUCCGUAGCCGGCUUGGCAAGUCCCCUGGGAAAUCUGGCGGCUUAACCGUCAGGCGUCCAGAGGAUACUGCCAGGCUUGGGACCGGGAGAGGUGAGAGGUACCUCAGGGGAAGGGGUGAAAUCUUGUGAUCCCUGAGGGACCACCAGUGGCGAAGGCGUCUCACUAGAACGGGUCCGACGGUCAGGGACGAAAGCUGGGGGCACGAACCGG